Molecule: ribosomal RNA, 402 nt
Filed under: bacterium
Lineage: Bacteria
Description: partial 16S ribosomal RNA
Rfam family: Bacterial small subunit ribosomal RNA
Source: RNAcentral
UGGGGAAUUUUGCACAAUGGGGGAAACCCUGAUGCAGCGACGCCGCGUGAUUUAGAAGGCCUUCGGGUUGUAAAAAUCUUUUCUACGGGAAGAAAAUGACAGUACCAUAGGAAUAAGGACCGGCUAAUUACGUGCCAGCAGCCGCGGUAAUACGUAAGGUCCGAGCGUUGUCCGGAAUCAUUGGGCGUAAAGGGUACGUAGGCGGGUAAGCAAGUUAGAAGUGAAAUCCUAUAGCUCAACUAUAGUAAGCUUUUAAAACUGCUCAUCUUGAGGUAUGGAAGGGAAAGUGGAAUUCCUAGUGUAGAGGUGAAAUGCGCAGAUAUUAGGAGGAAUACCGGUGGCGAAGGCGACUUUCUGGCCAUAACCUGACGCUGAGGUACGAAAGCGUGGGUAGCAAACAGG